UACGUAGGGUGCGAGCGUUAAUCGGAUUUACUGGGCGUAAAGCGUGCGCAGGCGGCCCGUUAAGACAGGUGUGAAAUCCCUGGGCUCAACCUAGGAAUUGCGCUUGUGACUGGCGGGCUCGAGUACGGUAGAGGGGGGUGGAAUUCCUGGUGUAGCAGUGAAAUGCGUAGAGAUCAGGAGGAACACCAGAGGCGAAGGCGGCCACCUGGGCCAAGACUGACGCUCAUGCACGAAAGCGUGGGGAGCAAACAGG
This 253-nucleotide ribosomal RNA is filed under the name uncultured microorganism. Its description in RNAcentral is "partial 16S ribosomal RNA". It matches the Rfam family "Bacterial small subunit ribosomal RNA", at positions 524 to 776 of the family's 1533-position model. The record is from RNAcentral.